UACAGAGGUCUCAAGCGUUGUUCGGAUUCAUUGGGCGUAAAGGGUGCGUAGGUGGCGUCGUAAGUCGGGUGUGAAAUUUCGGAGCUUAACUCCGAAACUGCAUUCGAUACUGCCGUGCUUGAGGACUGGAGAGGAGACUGGAAUUUACGGUGUAGCGGUGAAAUGCGUAGAUAUCGUAAGGAAGACCAGUGGCGAAGGCGGGUCUCUGGACAGUUCCUGACGCUGAGGCACGAAGGUCAGGGGAGCAAACGGG
This 253-nucleotide ribosomal RNA is filed under the name uncultured bacterium. Its description in RNAcentral is "partial 16S ribosomal RNA". It matches the Rfam family "Bacterial small subunit ribosomal RNA", at positions 524 to 776 of the family's 1533-position model. The record is from RNAcentral.